Molecule: long non-coding RNA, 1109 nt
Filed under: Homo sapiens (human)
Lineage: Eukaryota; Metazoa; Chordata; Mammalia; Primates; Hominidae
Description: non-protein coding lnc-GTDC1-23:1
Source: RNAcentral
CUAAUGACCAAAAUACGCAAAACACACCCGCUAAUAAAAAUUAUUAACCAUUAAUUCAUUGAUCUUCCCACAGCAUCCAGCAUUUCUACAUGAUGAAACUUUGGCUCACUUAUUGGUGCCUGCUUAAUUCUCCAAAUCAUCAGAGAAUGAUUUCUGGCCGUACACUACACAUCGGAUACCUUAACUGCCUUCUCUUCAGUCACCAAUAUCAGCCGAGAUGUAAAUUAUGACUGAAUAAUCUGCUAUUUUCAUGCUAACGGCGCUUCAAUAUUUUUCAUCUGCCUCUUCCUACAUGUUGGCCGAGGUUUAUAUUAUGGGUCAUUUAUAUUUCUAAAAACCUGAAAUAUUGGCAUUAUCCUCCUACUCACAACCACAGCAACAGCAUUUAUAGGUUACAUACUCCCAUGAGGCCAAAUAUCAUUCUGAGGUGCUACAAUAAUUACAAAUCUACUAUCAGCAAUCCCAUAUAUGGAAACUGACCUUGUAUAAUGAAUCUGAGGUGGAUUCUCAGUUGACAAAGCCACGCUUACACAACUUUUAGCCUUCCGUUUUAUCUUUCCCUUCAUCAUUGCAGCUCUAACAACUGUUUUCCUUUUAUUCUUACGUGAAACAGGAUAUAAUAACCUUCAGGGAUCUCAUCAGACCCUGACAAAAUCACUUUCCAACCUUACUACGUAAUCAAAUAUAUUCUAGGCCUAACUCUCCCCCUCCUCCUCCUAAUAGUCCUAGUACUAUUUUCACCUGAUCUCCUGAGCCACCUGGAUAAUUACACUUUAGCCAACACCCUCAAUACCCCACCCCACAUUAAACCAGAGUGAUACUUUUCCAUCCCUAACAAACUAGGAGGUAUGCUCGCCCUUACAUCCUCCAUUCUCAUUCUAGCAGUUAUUCCUAUACUUCACACAUCUAAACAACAAAACAUAGUAUUCUGUCCAUUAAGUCGAUGCCUAUUCUGAAUCUUAGUGCUGACCUGCUCACACUCACAUGAAUCGGAGGGCAGUGAGUCAACUACCCUUUUAUUAUCAUCAGACAGACAGCAUCCAUUAUGUACUUCUUUACCGUCCUCACCCUUAUACUAAUCAUUGCCCUAAUUGAAAACAAGCUACUUA